Molecule: ribosomal RNA, 535 nt
Filed under: Megadrilus sp. 184615559
Lineage: Eukaryota; Metazoa; Annelida; Polychaeta; Protodrilidae
Also listed under: 1 other name
Description: SSU rRNA
Rfam family: Eukaryotic small subunit ribosomal RNA
Source: RNAcentral
ACAGUGAAACCGCGAAUGGCUCAUUAAAUCAGUUAUCGUUUAUUUGAUAGUACCUUUUACAUGGAUAACCGUGGUAAUUCUAGGGCUAAUACAUGCACCAAAGCCCUGUGUUCGCGCAUAGGGUGCUAUUAUUAGAUCAAGGCCAUACCGGCGGCGCAAGCCUCGGUCUCUGUGGUGACUCUGGAUAAUUUCUGCUAAUCGCAUGCUCUUGCAGCGGCGAUGUGUCAUUCAAAUUUCUGCCUUAUCAACUUUCGAUGGUACGUUAUUCGCCUACCAUGGUUGUUACGGGUAACGGGGAAUCAGGGUUCGAUUCCGGAGAGGGAGCCUGAGAAACGGCUACCACCUCCAAGGAAGGCAGCAGGCGCGCAAAUUACCCACUCCCGGCUCGGGGAGGUAGUGACGAAAAAUAACAAUACAGUGUCCUUUAGGAUAUUGUAAUUGGAAUGAGUCGAGUCUAAACCAUUUAACGAGUAUCAAUUGGAGGGCAAGUCUGGUGCCAGCAGCCGCGGUAAUUCCAGCUCCAAUAGCGUAUAUA